This 1830-nucleotide unclassified non-coding RNA is filed under the name Acyrthosiphon pisum (pea aphid). Its description in RNAcentral is "rNA-binding protein lark, transcript variant X8". The record is from RNAcentral. Lineage: Eukaryota; Metazoa; Arthropoda; Insecta; Hemiptera; Aphididae.
UUACUACACACACACAUUCAGCUUAGCUAUUUUGUACACUCAACUCUGACGUUUUAUCCGAGAAUUGGUUCUCUCCGACUCCCACCAGACCAACCACCGCCGCCUUCUCUUGUGCAUUGUUCGUGCGUUGACGACUCGACAUUUUUUUUUUCGUGAAUUGUUCGUAAACUUCAUUAAUUUCUUGCCGUCCAGACACUUUGGCACGUAACGUAAACUCGUCUUGGCCGCCGUGUGCACAACGCAACAACUACGGUACAGCCACCGAUUGACUGACGCCGCCGAUUCUGCUGCUGUUCCUGCUGCUGCUGUUGCUGCUGCAUUCCGUCGUGUAUCGUCCGUGUGUGGUGAGUGUAUGACGUGGUGGCCCUUGUUGUCUUGAACGCACACGACAAUACUGUAAAUAACGAAAACGACAACACUCGAUCCACAUCACAGUGUAGACGAGAAAUGCGAGAUUUUGACCACAAACGGGGCAGACAAUUGGUUGACUGUACCACUGAAGAGGACACCGUUGCCGAGGAGACAGCCGUAAAAGAAAAAAUGCCGUCCGAUACUGAAAGUAACACAAGUUUUAACAACAGCAGUGUACGGACUUUUAAGAUUUUCAUUGGAAAUCUUUCUGAAAAGACCACAUCUAGUGAUAUUAGACCACUGUUUGAGAAGUAUGGCAAAGUUGUUGAAUGUGAUGUAAUGAAAAAUUUUGGCUUUGUUCAUAUGGACGAUGAUACCACUGGCCGUGCAGCUAUCAAAGCUUUGAAUGGUUCAAUGGUAAAUGAUUUAGCCAUGAAAGUAGAAGCUGCCACUAGUCGCCGCGGUCCCAAUACCCCAACUACAAAAAUUUUUGUAGGAAAUCUUUCUGAAACAACAAAGGCCAAUGAAGUACGAGAAUUAUUUGGAAGAUACGGCACUGUUGUUGAAUGUGACAUUGUUAGAACUUAUGGUUUUGUGCAUAUUGAUUCAACUGAUGUAAGCAGACUCAUAAAAGAUUUAAACGGACAUAUGUUGGAUGGUCAACCAAUCAAGGUACAAAUUUCAAAUAGCCGUGUUCGUCAGAGACCUGGAAUGGGCAUGCCAGAGCAGUGUUAUAGGUGCGGCAAGGGUGGCCAUUGGUCUCGGGAGUGCAGUCGUGAAGGGUAUGGAUAUGGAAGAGAUGCCUUACCACCGCUUCCACCACCACGUGCCUUGCUUUAUCCACCACCGCCUCCACCUUCAUUUGUUCGUGAUCGCAUUCUUGGUUCUUAUGGUACUGGCUUAAAAACUGAUAUGACAAGAAUGGACGAUUAUUCAAUGUUAUCGCACUCUGAACUAGGUGGUCAUAUGUAUGAAACUGAAGGCUUGUAUGACCGUUACUAUGAUCGUAGUCUUAUGCGAACAGCUGCUGAUGGUUAUGGCAUGGAUAGAAGAAUGCCAAGAAUGCCAUCUAGUCGCGAUUACUUAUCGUCAUCCACACGUAUUGGAACAACCAUGCGUGACCAAGAUUAUGUAUUCACACGCCGAUCACCAUUGUCAAGCAGUCGUACAUCUUCAUCUCAUGCAUAUGAUGAUUUCUCUAGGGAUUCGUAUGAUGAUCGUCGAAUAUUAUUAACAUGUGGCUGAAUGUGAAUAAUACUGACCAGUGACCAUACUACAAAACCGUGCAUUUUAAAUAUGAAUCAUUAUUGUGCAUGUCAUCUUCUGACGUAUUUGAUAUUUGCCGGUUUCCGUAUUUAACGUAUGGAGUACCAGUGUUUCAAGUGAUAAUGCCCUAAAACAUGUUUUGUUCUUGAGAACAAUGUGAGUUGAUUUUACGCUCUGGAAAGUGGGUUUGGUUUUUGAACAUUUAUAGACUUG